CGGAUGUAGCCAAGUGGAUUAAGGCAG
This 27-nucleotide transfer RNA is filed under the name Dendrolycopodium obscurum. RNAcentral's name for it is "partial tRNA-His". The record is from RNAcentral. Lineage: Eukaryota; Viridiplantae; Streptophyta; Lycopodiopsida; Lycopodiales; Lycopodiaceae.